Molecule: long non-coding RNA, 180 nt
Organism: Rhodamnia argentea
Lineage: Eukaryota; Viridiplantae; Streptophyta; Magnoliopsida; Myrtales; Myrtaceae
Exons: 2
Source: RefSeq, a predicted model, not a curated record
GCACAUUCUGAGGACAAACAGGUACUACCCUUUGCUCAUCCGCCCGCCCGUCCAACCAUAACAUUCAAUUGUAUGCAGUCGCAUUUCAAAGAAACUGAGAGCAUUCAUUCCAAGAUGAAAACAGCCUACCAGAUCAAUUUUGAAUAAAAACAUAAGGAAGUGAUCAAAUUUCUAAAGUCU